UACCCGGUGGUGUAAUGGUAACACUCCAGGUUUUGGUCCUGGCAUUCCUGGUUCGAGUCCAGGCCGGGUAG
Molecule: transfer RNA, 71 nt
Filed under: Planctomycetota bacterium
Lineage: Bacteria; Pseudomonadati; Planctomycetota
Description: Planctomycetes bacterium tRNA-Gln
Rfam family: tRNA
About the family: Transfer RNA (tRNA) molecules are approximately 80 nucleotides in length. Their secondary structure includes four short double-helical elements and three loops (D, anti-codon, and T loops).
Source: RNAcentral